RNAcentral lists this transfer RNA (57 nucleotides) under Camelus bactrianus (Bactrian camel). It matches the Rfam family "tRNA", at positions 8 to 63 of the family's 71-position model. Rfam says of the family: Transfer RNA (tRNA) molecules are approximately 80 nucleotides in length. Their secondary structure includes four short double-helical elements and three loops (D, anti-codon, and T loops). Further hydrogen bonds mediate the characteristic L-shaped molecular structure. tRNAs have two regions of fundamental functional importance: the anti-codon, which is responsible for specific mRNA codon recognition, and the 3' end, to which the tRNAs corresponding amino acid is attached (by aminoacyl-tRNA synthetases). tRNAs cope with the degeneracy of the genetic code in two manners: having more than one tRNA (with a specific anti-codon) for a particular amino acid; and 'wobble' base-pairing, i.e. permitting non-standard base-pairing at the 3rd anti-codon position. The record is from Rfam by way of RNAcentral. RNAcentral also lists the same sequence under 2 other names. Lineage: Eukaryota; Metazoa; Chordata; Mammalia; Artiodactyla; Camelidae.
UAGCUCAGUGGUAGAGUGCAUGCUUAGCAUGCAUGAGGUCCUGGGUGCAAUUCCCAA